Long non-coding RNA from Cyprinus carpio carpio, 1466 nucleotides. NCBI's taxonomy places the organism in Eukaryota, Metazoa, Chordata, Actinopteri, Cypriniformes, Cyprinidae. The record is from Ensembl.
UUAUUGUCUGCACUUCACUUCUGCUCUAGAUUGCUUCCCUUUAAAAUAAACCUGCAUGUAUACUAAAUAUCGGCUCUGUGAUAAAUGGCAUGUUAUGUUUCUACAUUCUUUUAUGAUGAUGGCAGUUCAGCAGAGUUGGAUCAGACCUCCUGUGGGACAACAUCUCUAAGGCUCUAUGAACCAUAUGACUGAUGCUGGGAUAGGCUUCAGCCCCCACGACCCUAGAGAGGAUAAGUGGUUUGGAGAGUGAACAGAUGGAUGGAUGACCUUCCAAAAUUCUUUGACUUGCUUUGAUUUUGUUUCUAUUCUUACUGCUGUUCAGCUUAAAACUACCUUUCCAUUAUCUUUGUUUGUCAUUUUGCAUCAUUAUACCUGUGCUAAACCUAUGAAAAUUAAGAAACAAAUGAAAGUAUCUUUUUUUUAUCAAUUUUUUUUUGUUGUUGUUACAGGAUCCUAUGUAUCCAGCCUCAACCAUUCAUCAAAAGGACUGUGAAAGAAGGAAUUCUUUGAACCACCAGUGGCAGUUUCCAGGGGAUAAAAAAGGGCAUAGUGGAUAAUGGGGAACCGUGCCUGACGUGGCGCUGGCGCGCUGCUGCUGCUGAAGGUGACAUAGAGGGAGGCCGCUGACAGACCAGGCUCUUGUCUUCAUGACAACAAUUUCAACUUUUUUCACACACAUACACCUUCCAAAAUCCGAAAAAUGGGGCGUGAGUGCUGAAUACUGGAGUCUCAUUCAAAUGCUGCAGCGGAGGGAGUUGCCAUGGAAACGGGGCAACAACACCAACUGACAAACUUCCCUCGCAGCUGUUUUCACUUCUUUCAGUUCAGCAGAGUUGGAGCAGACCUCCUGUCGGACAACAUCUCUAAGGCGCUAUGAACCAUAUGACUGGAUCUUGUGAGAAGUACUUCAUCUGAUACUGCCGCGAAGUUUCCCCUCCAUCCUCUCCACCACCACCAGGUUGGCUCUGUCCAUGCGGGGGAUCCUAUGUGUCCAGCCUCAUCCAUUCAUCAAAAGGACUGUGAAAGCAGGAAUUCUUUGAACCACCAGUGGCAGUUUCCAGGGGAUAAAAAAGGGCAUAGUGGAUAAUGGGGGUACUGACAUUAACCUGCUGACAUUAACACUGUAUUACACAUUCUUGUCAGUUUUUCAGUACUGGUGGUUUUGAUUUUGUCUGGAUGGCAUGCUCUCCUAAAACUAACUAGUCAAAGCUCAGGUACCACCCAAAAUGCUGCCAUUACCAGUCAGAAAAAGAGAAAUAUAUAGUCAGGUUAUCAUCGAGUACUCAGACUUGACAGCGAUGAUUGAUCAUGAAACCGAUGAUUGCAGUGACUUUAAAAAAUUAUGAAUCAUUGCUAAGUCUGAGUACUCUAGUACUUGUGCACAUCCCUAUUAAACACAUAAACAUAGUAUUGAGGUAUGAUGUAUACUGAAUUGAUGUAUACUGUAAAUACAAAAACAUUUUAAU